GUAUAUGAAUAUAAAUCUUUUAUUCCAGCUUUAACCUAUGCAGGCAUUGGAGAAGCUGGGGUUUCAAAGAUCUUUUCGAUGCUAAACAUACCAAUUCUUACUCCAAGAAAUUUGAAGAAGAGAGAGCGAGAGACUGUCCCUGCUCUAGAGUCACUGGCAAGAAAUUUCUGUGAAAAAGCCUUACAAUUGGAGGCACAUUAAUCAAGUGAAAGUGGAUUGGUGAUCUCUUAUGAUGCUGGGUGGCAAAAGCGAGGAAGUGGUAGAAACUACUGUAACAAUAGUCUCUCAGGACACGCAUCAAUGAUUGGCAGCAAAACUGGCGAAGUAGUAGGAUACAGUGUCAUGUCAAAAACAUGCCGUACCUGUAAUUCCAACAAAACCAGAACCUGUGAAAAAGAUCAUGACGGCAAGAAUUGGUCUGGCAGCAUGUUCAAAGCCAAUGGAACCAGCAAGCAGAUAGCACAUCAGAGAAGAGGCGAUGAUGGGAUACACAGCUUAUUUACAGAGAAUUUUAAGGGCAAGCCAAGGAUUACAAAGCGCACAUCUAUCAUUACUGCUGUGUCCAAAUUCAUGGAAGAGAGAUAACUCUACAUUCUGAAAAUUGAUGUCAUGUUGAUUUCAGUCAUUAUCUUUUAUAUUUUACUGGAUACAAUGCAAUUUAUUUUUAUUUUUGUAAUCCUUUCACCCAAUGGAUAUUUUGUUUAGGCACCAAACAAGUCAACAUACAGUAUAUGCAGGCUGUCCAGCACCCUUGGACAAAAAAUAAGGGCAAAUUUUAGGGGUAAAAUUUUAAAAAAUUAGGGCUAAAUUAGGUCUAAAAUUAGGAAUUUUUAACCAAAUUGCGGAAGUUUUAAUUAUCUAAAAGGACUUACCUUGUCAAAU
Ostrea edulis (European flat oyster) is the source of this 882-nucleotide long non-coding RNA. RefSeq lists it as uncharacterized. The transcript is spliced from 3 exons. The record is from RefSeq and is a predicted model, not a curated record. Lineage: Eukaryota; Metazoa; Mollusca; Bivalvia; Ostreida; Ostreidae.